This 345-nucleotide unclassified non-coding RNA is filed under the name fungal sp. RNAcentral's name for it is "partial internal transcribed spacer region". The stretch from base 1 to 46 matches the Rfam family "Eukaryotic small subunit ribosomal RNA", at positions 1786 to 1831 of the family's 1831-position model. Lineage: Eukaryota; Fungi. The record is from RNAcentral.
AAGUCGUAACAAGGUUUCCGUAGGUGAACCUGCGGAAGGAUCAUUAACACGUAUCCAACGUUAAACCCCCCCGUGAAUAUUAAUCGUGCUCUUGCAUCCUCCCAAUCAGCAAUCUCUGGUAAAUCACGUCGAACGGUUUGAUUCAGAGACCUCUGCGUUGUGGAUGACUGCUGACGCUAAAGGUGCAAUCGAGCGCUAGGAUCAGUGGUUUGGUUUCCCCUCAAACCACUUCAAUGAAUGACAGCGUCAUUGAAGUGUGAUGGGGAGGUCCAUGUCAGCGUAGGCCCUUCUGUCGUGGUUGGGCGUAAAAACGAACAACUGUUAACAAUGGAUAUCUUGGUUCUC